RNAcentral lists this long non-coding RNA (534 nucleotides) under Fukomys damarensis (Damara mole-rat). RNAcentral's name for it is "lncRNA (ENSFDAG00000022112.1)". Lineage: Eukaryota; Metazoa; Chordata; Mammalia; Rodentia; Bathyergidae. The record is from RNAcentral.
CCAGAAAACAAAUUCAAAUGCAUGCUCAUUCGUAAACUUUCAUUUGUGUUUAUUUAUUUUGUGCCAGUAUAUUUUGUGUAUAGUUAUUUCUUAUGACACGUUUUAGUCUGUGCCACUAAAGACUGAGAGGCUUAAAUACAGAAAAUGUUUAUUUCUUACAAUUUAAAAUGCACAGUCCAUGAUCAAGGGCCCAGAAGAUCCAAUGUCUGAUGAGGACCCUUUUAUGGUUUGCAGAUGGAUUCUGUGUAUCUUCAUAACAAGAAAAGAGGGGGAGCACUUUACUGUCAUAACCUGCACAGAAAGCUCACUUUAUAAAUUAUGGUGUCAAGGAGUGAUUACACGCUGUCUGUCUGAGGUAGAGAGCUGCAUGCCUGAGAACAUCAUACCACACCCGAGUUUUCCACUCUUCAAUCUCAGGACUUUCGUGUUGUCUGAUAUUGCCCCCUUCUAUUCCCUGGUGAUUAGUAUACACUAAAAUAUUGUAAAACAAACAAACAAACAAAAAACCAAAAAGAACUUGCCUUGAAAAACCCG